CUACGGGCCGCUCCAGUGAGGAAUCUUGCACAAUGGGCGAAAGCCUGAUGCAGCGACGCCGCGUGGAGGAUGAAGGUCUUCGGAUUGUAAACUUCUGUUAAGUGGGAAGAAAAGCGUAGUCAUAAUACGGCUACGUAAUGACGGUACCAUUAGAGAAAGCACCGGCUAACUUCGUGCCAGCAGCCGCGGUAAUACGAAGGGUGCGAGCGUUAUUCGGAUUUAUUGGGCGUAAAGGGUGCGCAGGCGGUAUGCUAAGUCAACUGUUAAAUUUCCCGGCCUAACUGGGGCAAGCGGUAGAUACUGGCAUUCUAGAGGAUGGAAGAGAGAAGUGGAAUUCUCGGAGUAGCGGUAAAAUGCGUAGAUCUCGAGAGGAACACCGAUGGCGAAGGCAGCUUCUUGGUCCAUUCCUGACGCUCAUGCACGAAAGCGUGGGGAGCAAACAGGAUUAGAUACCCCUGUAGUC
RNAcentral lists this ribosomal RNA (463 nucleotides) under uncultured bacterium. RNAcentral describes it as "partial 16S ribosomal RNA". It matches the Rfam family "Bacterial small subunit ribosomal RNA", at positions 339 to 795 of the family's 1533-position model. The record is from RNAcentral.